RNAcentral lists this ribosomal RNA (773 nucleotides) under uncultured archaeon. RNAcentral's name for it is "bacterial SSU rRNA". It matches the Rfam family "Archaeal small subunit ribosomal RNA", at positions 102 to 859 of the family's 1478-position model. The record is from RNAcentral.
AGUCAACCUAACCUGGAGACGCGGACAACCCCGGGAAACUGGGACUAAUCCGCGAUAGACCAAGACAUCUGGAAGGAGUCUUGAUCCAAAGGGAUGUGUGAGCAUGUUUACACAUUCGCUUCAGGAUGGGACUGCGGCCGAUCAGGUUGUUGGCGGGGUAAUGGCCCACCAAGCCUAUAACCGGUACGGGCUUUGAGAGAAGGAGCCCGGAGAUGGACACUGAGACAAGGGUCCAGGUCCUACGGGGCGCAGCAGGCGCGAAACCUUCGCAAUAUGCGAAAGCAUGACGAGGCUACUCCGAGUGCCCUUCGCUAAGAAGGGCUUUUCUCAGGCGUAAAUAACCUAGGGAAUAAGGGGUGGGCAAGUCUGGUGUCAGCCGCCGCGGUAAUACCAGCUCCUCGAGUGGUUGGGACGAUUAUUGGGCCUAAAGCAUCCGUAGCCUGCUCCGUAGGUCUUCUGUUAAAUCCAACGGCUCAACCGUUGGGCCGCAGGAGAUACCACGGGGCUAGGAGGCGGGGGAGGCCGACGGUACUCCAUGGGUAGGGGUAAAAUCCUCUGAUCCAUGGAAGACCACCAGUGGCGUAGGCGGUCGACCAGAACGCGCUCGACGGUGAGGGAUGAAAGCUGGGGGAGCGAACCGGAUUAGAUACCCGGGUAGUCCCAGCUGUAAACGAUGCGGGCUAGGUGAUGGAGCGGCUACGAGCCGCUCCGGUGCCGCAGGGAAGCCGUUAAGCCCGCCGCCUGGGGAGUACGGUCGCAAGACUGAAACUUAA